Molecule: ribosomal RNA, 514 nt
Filed under: uncultured bacterium
Lineage: Bacteria
Description: bacterial SSU rRNA
Rfam family: Bacterial small subunit ribosomal RNA
Source: RNAcentral
AGAGUUGAUCAUGGCGUCAGGAUGAACGCUAGCGGCAGGCUAACACAUGCAAGUCGAGGGGCAGCGCGGGUAGCAAUACCUGGCGGCGACCGGCGAAAGGGUGAGUAACGCGUGAGCAACGUGCCCGUAUGUGGGGGAUAGUCAUUGGAAACGAUGCGUAAUACCCCGUAACACAAAUCUUCGCAUGGGGAUUUGUUGAAAGAUUUAUUGCAUACGGAUCGGCUCGCGUGCCAUUAGGUAGACGGCGGGGUAACGGCCCACCGUGCCGACGAUGGCUAGGGGUUCUGAGAGGAAGGUCCCCCCACAUUGGAACUGAGACACGGUCCAGACUCCUACGGGAGGCAGCAGUGAGGAAUAUUGGACAAUGGCCGGAAGGCUGAUCCAGCCAUGCCGCGUGCGGGAUGACGGCCCUAUGGGUUGUAAACCGCUUUUGCGAGGGAGCAAUAAGUGUUACGAGUAACACGAUGAGAGUACCUCGCGAAUAAGCAUCGGCUAACUCCGUGCCAGCCGCAGC